AGUUCGAUCAUGGCUCAGAUUGAACGCUGGCGGGAUGCUUUACACAUGCACGAACGCAAGUACGGACUUUAUCUGUAUAUGGCGAACGGGUGAGUAAUGUAUCGGAACGUGCCUAGUAGCGGGAUAAUCACGCGAAAGCGUAUUGGCUACCGCAUACUGCGCCCUUCGGGGGAAAGCGGGGGACCUUCGGGCCUCGCACUAUUAGGAGCGGCCGAUAUCGAUUGGGCUAGUUGUGGUAACGGCUCACCAAGGCGAUUACUGAUCCAGUUGGUCGAGAGGACGACCAGCCACACUGGGACUGAGACACGGCCCAGACUUCCUACGGGAGGCAGCAGUGGGGAAUUUUGGACAAUGGGGGAAACUCCUGAUCCAGCCAUCCCGCGUGUGCGAUGAAGGCCUUCGGGUUGUAAAGCACUUUUGGCAGGAAGAAACGGCACGGGAUAAUACCCGUGCAACUGACGGUACCUGCAGAAUAAGCACCGGCUAACUACGUGCCAGCAGCCGCGGUAAUACGUAGGGUGCAAGCGUUAAUCGGAAUUACUGGGCGUAAAAGCGCGAAGGGUCUGGAAAGAAAGAUGUGAAAUCCCAGAGCUUAACUUUGGAACUGCAUUUUUAACUACCGAGCUAGAGUGUGCCGUGAGGGAGGUGGAAUUCCGCGUAGCAGUGAAAUGCGUAGAUAUGCGUGGAGGAACACCGAUGGCGAAGGCAGCCUCCUGGGAUAACACUGACGCUCAUGCACGAAAGCGUGGGGAGCAAACAGGAUUAGAUACCCUGGUAGUCCACGCCCUAAACGAUGUCAACUAGCUGUUGGGGCCUUCGGGCCUGGUAGCGCAGCUAACGCGUGGUGUUGGCCGCCUGGGAGUACGGUCGCAAGAUUAAAACCCGUAUGAAUUGACGGGGACUCCGUACAAGCGUGAUGAUGGAUUAAUUCGAUGCAACGCGAAAAACCUUACCUACCCUUGAUAAGCCCAAUCCCGAAGAGAUUUGGGGAGUGUCGCAAGAGAACCGAACACAGGUGCUGCAUGGCUGUCGUCAGCUCGUGUUUCGUGAGAUGCUGGGUUAAGUCCUGCAACGAGCGCAACCUUGUCAUUAGUUGCUACAAAGGGCACUCAAUGAGACUGCUUCGGUGACAACUGGAGAAGGUAGAUGACGUCAAGUCCUCAUGGCCCUUAUGGGUAGGGCUUCACACGUCAUACAAUGGUCGGGACAGAGGUCACCAACCCGGCGAGGGGGAGCGCCAAUCCCAGAAACCCGAUCGUAGUCCGGAUCGUACGCCUGCAACCUGACUCAGUGAAGUCGGAACGCCAGUAAUCGCGGAUCACAUGUCGCGGUGAAUACGUUCCCGGGUCUUGUACACACCGCCCGUCACACCAUGGGAGUGGGUUUUACCAGAAGCAGUUAGCCCAACCGCAGGAGGGCGAUUACCACGGUAGGAUUCAUGACUGGGGUGAAGUCGUAACAAGGUAA
Molecule: ribosomal RNA, 1467 nt
Filed under: uncultured Bordetella sp.
Lineage: Bacteria; Pseudomonadati; Pseudomonadota; Betaproteobacteria; Burkholderiales; Alcaligenaceae
Description: partial 16S-23S ribosomal RNA intergenic spacer
Rfam family: Bacterial small subunit ribosomal RNA
Source: RNAcentral